GCGUAAUCGUGUCGGCGCUACAAAUCAGACUUCGAAUCUGGGGGUCAGGGGUUCGAAUCCCUUCCGGCGCGCCA
RNAcentral lists this transfer RNA (74 nucleotides) under Hyphomicrobiales bacterium. RNAcentral's name for it is "Rhizobiales bacterium (bioreactor metagenome) tRNA-Arg". The stretch from base 9 to 71 matches the Rfam family "tRNA". From Rfam's summary of the family: Transfer RNA (tRNA) molecules are approximately 80 nucleotides in length. Their secondary structure includes four short double-helical elements and three loops (D, anti-codon, and T loops). Further hydrogen bonds mediate the characteristic L-shaped molecular structure. tRNAs have two regions of fundamental functional importance: the anti-codon, which is responsible for specific mRNA codon recognition, and the 3' end, to which the tRNAs corresponding amino acid is attached (by aminoacyl-tRNA synthetases). tRNAs cope with the degeneracy of the genetic code in two manners: having more than one tRNA (with a specific anti-codon) for a particular amino acid; and 'wobble' base-pairing, i.e. permitting non-standard base-pairing at the 3rd anti-codon position. The record is from RNAcentral. Lineage: Bacteria; Pseudomonadati; Pseudomonadota; Alphaproteobacteria; Hyphomicrobiales.